RNAcentral lists this ribosomal RNA (450 nucleotides) under Triticum aestivum (bread wheat). RNAcentral describes it as "partial small subunit ribosomal RNA". Lineage: Eukaryota; Viridiplantae; Streptophyta; Magnoliopsida; Poales; Poaceae. The record is from RNAcentral.
AUGGGCCGCCAAGCUAGUGUUGCACGAAAUGACCUCGAGCAUAUGCUAUCUCAUGAAAACGAGCUGCCAAAGGCCUGGCCAUUAUCACUUUUGGAAGACAUUACGGAUGGUUUCUCUAAGAACCAUCAAAUUGGCAGCGGUGGGUUUGCAGUGGUUUACAAGGGAAUGCUUGAAAAUGGGACUGUUGCUGUGAAGAAGUUGCUUGAAAGUCUUGAUAUUCCUGAUAAUAAAUUCAAUGAAGAAAUUCAUUGUUUGAUGAGGGUAAAGCACAACAACAUAGUCCGGUUUUUGGGAUAUUGUGCUAACAUACAAGGCCAAAUGGAAAACUACAAUGGAGAUUUUGUCAUGGCAGAUAUACAUCAAAGGUUGCUUUGCUUUGCUUUGAGUAUGUACCUAAAGGAAGUCUUCAUGAGUAUAUCAAAGAUACAUCUUCUAGACUUGACUGGAUAA